UUCCGGUUGAUCCUGCCGGACCCGACUGCUAUUUGGGUGAGAAUAGCCAUGCGAGUCGAAUGGGAUACCUAAAUUUCCCAUGGCAGACUGCUCAGUAACACAUGAUCAACUUACCCUAUAGAGAAAGAUAACCUCGGGAAACUGAGGAUAAUAUUUCAUAGUUGAAUCGGCUUGGAAAAGUUUUUCAAUUAAAGGAAUAAGAAAAAUGGUUCUUAUUUGCUAUAGGAUAGGAUCGUGGACGAUUAUGGUUGUUGGUGAGGUAACGGCUCACCAAGCCGAUAAUCGAUAGGGGCCGUGAGAGCGGGAGCCCCGAGAUGGGUACUGAGACAACGACCCAGGCCUUACGAGGCGCAGCAGGCGCGGAACCUCCGCAAUACACGAAAGUGUGACGGGGUUACCCAAAGUGUUCAAUCUUGAACUGUGGUAGGUGAGUAAUGUUCCCUACUAGAAAGGAGAGGGCAAGGCUGGUGCCAGCCGCCGCGGUAAAACCAGCUCUUCAAGUGGUCGGGAUAAUUAUUGGGCUUAAAGUGUCCGUAGCCGGUUUAGUAAGUUCCUGGUAAAAUCGGGUAGCUUAACUAUCUGUAUGCUAAGAAUACUGCUAUACUAGAGAGCGGGAGAGGUCUGAGGUACUACAGGGGUAGGGGUGAAAUCUUAUAAUCCUUGUAGGACCACCAGUGGCGAAGGCGUCAGACUGGAACGCGCCUGACGGUGAGGGACGAAAGCCAGGGGAGCGAACCGGAUUAGAUACCCGGGUAGUCCUGGCCGUAAACGAUGCAUACUAGGUGAUGGUACGGCCAUGAGCCGUAUCAGUGCCGUAGGGAAACCGUUAAGUGUGCCGCCUGGGAAGUACGGUCGCAAGGCUAAAACUUAAAGGAAUUGGCGGGGGAGCAC
RNAcentral lists this ribosomal RNA (891 nucleotides) under uncultured crenarchaeote. Its description in RNAcentral is "bacterial SSU rRNA". It matches the Rfam family "Archaeal small subunit ribosomal RNA", at positions 1 to 879 of the family's 1478-position model. The record is from RNAcentral. Lineage: Archaea; Thermoproteati; Thermoproteota.